RNAcentral lists this ribosomal RNA (497 nucleotides) under uncultured bacterium. Its description in RNAcentral is "partial 16S ribosomal RNA". It matches the Rfam family "Bacterial small subunit ribosomal RNA", at positions 28 to 507 of the family's 1533-position model. The record is from RNAcentral.
GAUGAACGCUGGCGGCGUGCCUAAUACAUGCAAGUCGAGCGAACAGACGAGGAGCUUGCUCCUCUGACGUUAGCGGCGGACGGGUGAGUAACACGUGUAUAACCUACCUAUAAGUCUGGGAUCACUUCGGGAAACCGGAGCUAAUACCGGAUAAUCUAUUGAACCGCAUGGUUCAAUAGUGAAAGACGGUUUUGCUGUCACUUCUAGAUGGUUCCGCGCCGCAUUAGCUAGUUGGUAAGGUAACGGCUUACCAAGGCAACGAUGCGUAGCCGACCUGAGAGGGUGAUCGGCCACACUGGAACUGAGACACGGUCCAGACUCCUACGGGAGGCAGCAGUAGGGAAUCUGCCGCAAUGGGCGAAAGCCUGACGGAGCAACGCCGCGUGAGUGAUGAAGAUCUUCGGAUCGUAAAACUCUGUUAUUAGGGAAGAACAAAUGUGUAAGUAACUAUGCACGUCUUGACGGUACCUAAUCAGAAAGCCACGGCUAACUACGUG